RNAcentral lists this ribosomal RNA (240 nucleotides) under uncultured bacterium. RNAcentral's name for it is "partial 16S ribosomal RNA". It matches the Rfam family "Bacterial small subunit ribosomal RNA", at positions 524 to 764 of the family's 1533-position model. The record is from RNAcentral.
UACGGAGGAUGCGAGCGUUAUCCGGAUUUAUUGGGUUUAAAGGGUGCGUAGGCGGAUUUUUAAGUCAGCGGUAAAAUGUCCGGGCUCAACCCGGGCCGGCCGUUGAAACUGGGGAUCUUGAGUGGGCGAGAAGUAUGCGGAAUGCGUGGUGUAGCGGUGAAAUGCAUAGAUAUCACGCAGAACUCCGAUUGCGAAGGCAGCAUACCGGCGCCCGACUGACGCUGAGGCACGAAAGCGUGG